Zophobas morio is the source of this 209-nucleotide long non-coding RNA. RefSeq lists it as uncharacterized. The record is from RefSeq and is a predicted model, not a curated record. The transcript has 3 exons. NCBI's taxonomy places the organism in Eukaryota, Metazoa, Arthropoda, Insecta, Coleoptera, Tenebrionidae.
CAAAAAGAAAUAACAAAGAAACUUAUUUCUUUACAAUUAUCAGAAGAAAAAGAUAUGGAAACCUUUGAUUCCCGUCUGUACGAGGACGAAUAUGACGAUGCUUAUGAUGACGUAUUCAUAGAAAAUUUGUCUGCCCCAACAACUUUUCUACAAACUUUUACCGGCGAAGAAACUUUUGAUAAUCCUAUAAUUGGAGAAAGAAGUUUUUC